GUAUGAUUCCUUGGAAUGUUUGGAUUACGCAAAUGUUGAGUUGAUUGGCGAUAGUGAAGAUGUGUGGAUUUUCAACAUUGAUGAUUCUUUGUUGUCCAAUCUUCCUUAUUAACAAGAGCAUGGUUAUGGGUAAGUUCCUUUUUUCAUUUUUUUUGAAAAUUAAAAUGUGUACAAUUUUCUGUUUGGUUGCUGGAAAGUAUGGAAGGAAGAUGGGAAAUGGAUUUAUUUUGAACAUGGACUUGUUCAAGAAAACCAUGGGGUCAGUGAAGAAGGCACUGGCAGAUGCCCAAUUGGGGAAAUCUGACAUUGAUGAGAUUCUGCUCGUUGGAGGAAGUACUUGGAUUCCAAAAGUUCAGGAAUUAUUGAAAGAUUUUUUUGAUGGGAAGGAGCCGAAUAAAGGUGUGAAUCCUGAUGAAGCUGUGGAUUAUGGAGCUGGAGUUUAUGAUGAAAUUCUUAGUACUGAAAGAGAUGAAAGAAUCUACGUUUAGGUUUGCUUCUUCUGGCUCCCCUAAGUCUUGGUAUCGAAACUGCUGGUGGGGUUAACUUAAGACUAAGUUAAUUCCCAGGUAUCCUUACAUGCCUUCCGAGAAGUCUCAGGUUUUUACCACUUACCAGGAUCAGCAAACUUUUGUUUCUAUCAAGAUUUAUGAAGGUGAAAGGAGCCUGGCGAAGGAUUGUUGUGAGCUUGGAAAGUUUAAUUUCUCUGGCAUUGCUCCUGCUCCAAGGCAAGUUGAAAGCAUAAGACAUCUCAAUAUAGAGAGUUUAGGAUAAAAUAGGAAUAUCAUGACGCAUGAUUUAUAAUAUAUAAAAUGCAUAAAAUUCAUUCUAAAUUUUGUGCCUGCAUUGAACUUCAUAAUAUUUUCAUUAAUGCAACGGAGUAGCCAAAAUUGAGUUAACACUUGAGGUUGAUAUCAUUGACAUCAAAACUGUAAAAGCUGAGGACAAGGCAACAAAAAAGUCAGAAUCCUUCACCAUAAACGCUGGCAUGAGGUGUCUGAGUCAAGAAGAGACCGAAAGAAUGGUGAACGAGGCUGAGGAAUUUGAGGAAGAACAUAAGAAAAUAAGAGAGAAAAUUGGUGCCAGGAAUGGACUGGAAAGCGUCAUGAGUGAGGAAAAAGAGAAUAAGAUUGAUGGUCAUGAUAAAGAGAAGCUUGGAAGCUCCAUGAAGACAACCAGAAUGCUGAGAAGAAUGAGGAGGCUGAAGGUGUUUAUAAUCCUAUUAUUAUUAGACAGGUUUAUGAGAAGAGUGGUGGUGCAAGUUCAGGUUAUUCACAGUGAGAAGAAGAGGAAGAUGAAUACCAUCAUGAAUAAAGGAGAGAAGGAUGAUAAAAAAGAAGAAAGAAUUCAGUUUUUUAUCAUGAGUGCUUGAAAUCAGUAUUGAUUAAAAAUGAACCAUUAAGACGCAUUCUGGAUUUUAUUUUAAUUUGGUGGUUAUUAUUUGUAAUUAACAGGGGUAACUGAUUGGUUGGUAAGCAUAUCUGAUCUAAUAUUCUUCUCGCCAGGUUUAGUUAUUUAUUAAAAAGACAGAUUAUGUAGAAUAUGUGAUUUAGUAUUAUAAUCUUAUUCUAAUUCAUACAAAUAAUGCUAUCUGAGUUGAGUGGAUUUGCGAGCUGUAUUGAAAUUAAUUGUCAUCCUUAUUUGUUUUGUUAAUUUUUAUUAAUUUCUCAUAUGGGUUUUGUUGGGAAUGUAUAGCUCCGAGAUAUUUGAUCUAGUGGAGUUUGAUGAAUAGGUUCAGAAAGCCAUGGCAUCCGCUGUAGAACCCAGUGGAGUUUCCAGGUUCUGUAUAUGAUUGCAGCUUGUGAGACCUCUGAUUCUCAACAAGGGACUUGUGAUUCAUCAGUAUAGGUUUUAUAAAUGGAUGAUGUUUGAUUGAUUGAGGCCUGAUUUAAUUGCUGUAAUUUCAGUAUAGCUUCCAGAGCUAUAUUAGCUGUUCCGGGACUAUUCGAGGUUCUAGGAUUGCCGAGGCCGGAACCUCUGUUGCAGUAGGAUAGGUUCUAUAAAGGUGUGACGUUUGAUGGAUUUAGCCUGAUGUUAGCACCAUUAUAUAGUUUGCAAAAUGUGAAAGUAUUGAAAACGCUCAAGAGCUCUUCAUUACAGGUUGCAAAAUGUAAAAUUUGCAGGUAUUCUUACCUUUUAUGAUUUUCAUAUGUUGGUUUAUUCACUUCUCUCUUUUAUUUUAUUUUUCCACUCUCAUAUGGUGAAUUUAGUUUAGAGGAUAAGCAUGUAAAACAUUGUCCCCCUAGUUUGCAUUAUGUGUUUAUGUCUCACUUUUUCUCUUCCUUAUUAUGGGAUAAUUUUUACGGGCCUAAUGUUUCUUGGAGCACGUAUGAACCUGAUUUUAUAUCUCAUGUACAGAGAAUGACUUAUAUGUUAGGGCAUAAAAGCUGAUAGCUUAUUUUUUGCAUAUUCAAUAUGAUAGUCGGGUUAUUGUUUUCAAUAAAUUAGGUUGAAAGCUGUUAGGAUCUUAAGUGCAAGGUAUGAGACUUGGAUCCCACAUUGGAAGGUAUCGGCAACUGGUGUGAAGUUUAUAUGAGCUUGAGCUCUCCCAUCUCAAUAGCUAGCUUUUGAAAUGUGAUUCUCCUAAGGUUCGUAUCAUUUGGUAUCAGAGUCAUCACCAUGUCUCCCAGUUGCAAUCGUGCGGCGCGGGUGGUGACGCCGACAUUGCAGUGUUCGCCUGGGGUUAGCAGAGAGUUAAUGCACAGCCAGCCUGCGUGGGCGUCGGGGCUGUGGAGCGUGGUGGAAUGUUAGGAUCUCAAGUGUAAGGUAUGAGACUUGGAUCUCACAUUGGAAAGUAUGGACAACUAGUGUGGGGUUUAUAUGACUUUGAGCUCUCCCAUCUCAAUAGCUAGCUUUUGAGGUGUGGUUCUCCUAAGGUUCGUAUCAGAAGCAAAGCCCAUUGCUGUGCUUUCUAAGGUCUAUGCCUCAAUUAUCUUUAUUCCCUUGAGGGAAAAUGUAUAUGCUUUCACUGAUUGCCUCUCAUGGUUGUAUAUUUUUUUCACUGACAACUGGACAUUGCAUUGUCUAACUCAGUGUUGUGCUGAUAAUUUAACUUUGUCUUUACAUGUUUGCAUAGCAUAUACAAGUAGAGGAAUCAGAAGUGAUAUUGUUCUUGGUAUUGGGACAUAAUUAUGUGUAUAUGGUCUGUUUUAUUAAAUGAUGAGGAUCUAAGACUUUAAGGACAUUAAGCUGUCGUUGGUGCAUGUAUUCUAGAUUUGUACCCAAAACUUCUGUGAAUUUUCUAGAUGCCUUGGGAAUUCCCGCGCACAUUGCCUUCUUAUUUUAUUUCUUCCCCUUUCCCAGAUCCUAGCGGAACCAAGACCAUCAGUAUGACCAAGGUAUUCUUUGUACCUAGGACGGCAGUAUCCACCAUUCUGUCUUUUUCUUGAGUUAUUCUAAUAUUCAGGCACCGAAGGGGAGCUAAAUGAUGUUAAAAGGACAAAAUAACAAUUGUUGAGAUGGGGAUGGAAGUACAACAAGAACUUUGAGGAACAAGCUGCCUAACUUCAUAUGCCAACACGGUGGUCUCAGAUUGUGGAGGUUAAUUUAUUUUUUCAGUCGUAUAGUUUAUUUUAUUUAUUCUACAAAUCUUCUGAUUUCUUGGAGAGAUUUGACACAUAAUAUGAACAACCUUUAUCAUGCCAUUUGUUCCUAAACCAACCCCUCCACACGGCGCCCAUUAUUAUUAAUAUCUAGACGUAUAUCUUUGCCUGGAAACAGAUUUGAAAUCUUAUAUCAGUGAGCCCCCAUUAUUAUUAAUAUUUUUCGUUCUCUAAUAGAAGCAUCAGCUAACUGUUUAAUAUGGUCAUUUACAGAAUUCUUGAUUCAUCCCUUGGUGCUUCUGCUUCUCCAAACUGUUCAUUAAGGACGGUAUUUAAAUUGUGUCAGGUAGUACUUAUCUAACCAUUUUGGAGUGGUUGCCUCUUUUUUGCAAUGUAUCUUGAUUAAAUUGAUAAGUCUGCUUGCAGCUAGGUUGCCCUUACAUGCAUGGCUAAACUAUGAGAUGAAAGGUCUUAAAGCCCAGGUGGUUUAAAUGCUGAUAGUUUUACAUUUCUUAAUGUUAUCAUGGUGAAACAAUUGUCAAAUGGUGCAUGUCACUCCCUUUUGUUUAAGCUAAUCAUGUCAAUUUUGAGACAUGAAUCGUUUGAAGCCUUGAGGAGACGGUAUACUUUAAGUGUUGCUCUGUUUCUGGCUUUAAAAAAUUAAUCAACUCUGAAUUGCUUUCUGGUUUUGGAAAUGAAUCUUAUUAAAUCUGAUAGUAGAAAUUACCUUUUCAAAGAUGUCAUUAAGAUGUUUGAUUACUCUCAAGUUCCCCCUUUGUUUUCUAUUAUGCUUCAGUGGGUUCUCCUUGUCUUUUUUAAAACUAAGAAUUCUUUAUAUUAACUAAAGAAGAAAAGAAGUAAUUAGAUUCUUCAGGCAUCUUGUAAAUUAUAUUGUCAUAAAUUCACUUGGUUGGAUUGUGUUAAGGUGUGUAUUUUCCAGGCUGCUACUCUUACCGUGCAAUUGGGAUUGGCCUUUCAUUAUGUCUUUGCAUUUUUUUUUUCAAUCAUUUUGCUUCAUUUAACAUAAACUGUUGCCUCAUUCUUGGAUGAUUUUAAUUGUACUUUCUCUCAAUUCACAAAAGGUUCAUUCUGCUGGCAUCUUUCCUUAUAUUAAAAAAGCAUUGCAAUCUUUUGCACCUGUUAAUAUCCAUUUUGGUCUUAUGACAUCAAAAAGCCACAUGUUUGUUUGAGUUUUUACAAGUUUGACUAUAUCUGAAGUUUUCUGAUAUGGGUUUCUCUAAUCUCUAUGCUGUUUCAAAAACAGAAAUAGUACAAGUUCUGGUUUAUCAUAGUCAUAGUUUUAUAUUGCUAUGUUGUCUUUUUCCAUAUUAAUGAAGUCAAUCUCCUCUUAAAACUCUACAACUUACCCAUUGUUGUCUGUUUUUAGGCUUCCCUUGGAAUGUGAAAUAAUAGUUUAUAUAUUUUGUAACUUAUUACAAUAGUGUGCUGACCUUAUUGUGUACAAGUUGGUCAGGGCUUGUUUCCUUGAGAUGAUAAGAAGUUUCCCAGGUAGUCAUUGCCGUCACCAAGUGUGGAUGCUCAUUGAUGAAGAAUUUUGGUGUGUCGGCUAUUAGUGUCGGUAACUUGCAGGGUUUUGAACUGGAAACUCGAAUGUUCUUUACAUGUUUAAGUUUAUCACACAAUGUACUUGGUCUUUGGGGUUUGACCAUUCUUUGUCUGUGUUGAAACUUGCUGCAGAAUUCUUAUUAUUGGAUUUGCAACAAACAAAAUUCUAGAACUUGAGCUGAUCACUGUUGAUGAUUUGUUCACAGUUGUUGAUUGCUUAACUGUAUUAUAAUUGAACCCAAAUUUUCUUUAGAAA
Mangifera indica (mango) is the source of this 5361-nucleotide long non-coding RNA. RefSeq lists it as uncharacterized. The transcript is spliced from 3 exons. NCBI's taxonomy places the organism in Eukaryota, Viridiplantae, Streptophyta, Magnoliopsida, Sapindales, Anacardiaceae. The record is from RefSeq and is a predicted model, not a curated record.